AGGUGUGUGGCAGACCUCGGCGUGGGGAGCCGUAGCCCGGCAGUCGGGAUGGGAGAGCGGAGCAGGCAUUGCAGGAAGUUUUGGAGAGGAGAAGCUGAGCGGCAACGAGGAGCCUGAGCAGGUACGGUGCAGGCCUUUCCCAGGCGUGGCUGAGGAUUUGAGGUGAAGUAGAAUGGGUGC
This is a long non-coding RNA of Dromaius novaehollandiae (emu), 180 nucleotides long. RefSeq lists it as uncharacterized. Lineage: Eukaryota; Metazoa; Chordata; Aves; Casuariiformes; Dromaiidae. The record is from RefSeq and is a predicted model, not a curated record. The transcript has 3 exons.